This 1520-nucleotide ribosomal RNA is filed under the name Proteomonas sulcata. RNAcentral's name for it is "SSU rRNA". It matches the Rfam family "Bacterial small subunit ribosomal RNA". The record is from RNAcentral. Lineage: Eukaryota; Cryptophyceae; Pyrenomonadales; Geminigeraceae.
UGAUUCUAGAGUUUGAUUCUGGCUCCGAAUAAACGCUAUUUAUUUGCUUAACACAUGCAAGUCGAACGGUUUUUGAUCUUAAAAAACAGUGGCGUACGGGUGAGUAAUAUAAAGGAAUUUACCCUAUAGUCUAGUUUAGACAAUUAUUCAAAGAAUAAUUUAGAUACUAGAUAAUAUAAAAAGAUUUAUCGCUAUAGGAUAAGCCUUUAUAAGAUUAGGUAGUUGGUAAGGUAAUUGCUUACCAAGCCGAUGAUCUUUAACUGGUCUGAGAGGACGGUCAGUCACAUUAAAACUGAGAAAGGUUUAAACUCUUACGAGAGGCAGCAGUGAGGAAUAUUGAACAAUGAGCGCAAGCUUGAUUCAGCAAUAUAAAGUGAGUGAUGAAUGCUAUCUUUGGUUGUAAAGCUCUUUUAUCGAGGAAAAUUAUGAUUUUACCCGAAGAAAAAACCCUGGCUAACUCCGUGCCAGCAGCCGCGGUUAUACGGGGAGGGUUAGUGUUAUUCGAAAUUACUGGGCGUAAAGCGUGUGUAGACGGUUGUUGUCGUUAAAGAUUAAAUCUUAAUAUUGAAUAUUAAGUUAUUUUUAGUACAAAUAACUCGAGUGUUAUAGAAGAUAAUAGAAUUUCAAGUGGAGAAAUAAAAUUCGUAGAUUUUUGAAGGAAUAUCGAAAGCGAAGGCAGUUAUCUAUGUAACAACUGACGUUAAUGCACGAAAGUGUGGGUAGCAACCGGGAUUAGAUACCCCGUUAGUCCAUACCGUAAACAAUGAGUACUCAUUCUUGGAUUUUUUUUCAGGGAUUUAGCUAACGCGUUAAGUACUCCGCCUGAGAAGUAUGCUGGCAACAGUGAAACUCAAAGAAAUUGACGGGAAUUUAUACAAUUGGUGGAAUAUGUAGUUUAAUUCGUAAAUACACGCAAAACCUUACCAACUCUUGAAUAUUUUUUUUAAAAUACAGGCGUUGCAUGGCUGUCGUCAGCUCGUGUUUUGAGAUGUUAGGUUCAGUCCAUUAACGAGCGAAACCCUUAGUCUUGUUACAAAUAAUGUUAGAUGCCAUUUAUUAUGGACAAAAACAUUUUGAACUCAAGAAUUAUUGUCUUUUAUACAAAGAAUGAAAAAAGGAUGACGUCAAGUCCUCAUGACCCUUAUGAGUUGGGCUACUUAUGUAUUACAAUGGCAGUAACAAUAAGUUGCAAUAAUGAAAAUUGAAGCUAAUCUUUGAAAAAUUGCCUUAGUUCGGAUUGUUUUCUGCAACUCGAAAACAUGAAGGUGGAAUCAAUAGUAAUCGCUUAUCAGUAGGGAGCGGUGAAUUUGUACCUAAAUUUUGCACAUACCGCCCGUCACAUCUUGAAAGCAGUUUGUUUUUGAAGUAGUAACAAAUCUUUACAUUUUUAAUAUUUUUUAUGCAAUGUUGCUUAUUUUUUAGUAAAUGUGAGAUAAAUUAUUGUUAAAACACAAAUUAUGAUUGAGAUGAAGUCGUAACAAGGUAACGGUAGAGGAAUCUGCUGUUGGAAAAUUUCCUUU